This 131-nucleotide non-coding RNA is filed under the name Ochromonas sp. CCMP1393. Lineage: Eukaryota; Chrysophyceae; Chromulinales; Chromulinaceae. The record is from RNAcentral.
UACCUGCUGUUUACCUCAGUAAACCGAAAUUGGAAAUUCUGCAAGAUGAGAAAGACGAUAGGUAUAUUACCCUCUGCGACGUCGUACCAAUAUUGAUUCCUGACGAUCCUCUAAACCUGUCAAAUUCAAUG